This 429-nucleotide ribosomal RNA is filed under the name Bacteroidota bacterium. RNAcentral describes it as "Bacteroidetes bacterium partial 16S ribosomal RNA". It matches the Rfam family "Bacterial small subunit ribosomal RNA", at positions 355 to 776 of the family's 1533-position model. Lineage: Bacteria; Pseudomonadati; Bacteroidota. The record is from RNAcentral.
UAGGGAAUCUUCCGCAAUGGACGCAAGUCUGACGGAGCAACGCCGCGCGAGUGAAGAAGGAUUUCGGUUCGUAAAACUCUGUUGUUAGAGAAGAACAGCGCAUAGAGUAACUGUUAUGCGUGUGACGGUAUCUAACCAGAAAGCCACGGCCAACUACGUGCCAGCAGCCGCGGUAAUACGUAGGUGGCAAGCGUUUUCUGGACUUAUUGGGCGUAAAGCGAGCGCAGGCGGUCAAUUAAGUCUGAUGUGAAAGCCCCCGGCUCAACCGGGGAGGGUCAUUGGAAACUGGUUUACUUGAGUGCAGAGGAGGAGAGUGGAAUUCCAUGUGUAGCGGUGAAAUGCGUAGAUAUAUGGAGGAACACCAGUGGCGAAGGCGACUCUCUGGUCUGUAACUAACGCUGAGGCUCGAAAGCGUGGGUAGCAAACAGG